Molecule: long non-coding RNA, 1829 nt
Organism: Cyprinus carpio (common carp)
Lineage: Eukaryota; Metazoa; Chordata; Actinopteri; Cypriniformes; Cyprinidae
Source: Ensembl
UUCUUUUUGUGUCUAGAUAUCCAGCAUGGUCUUGAAAUCGUCUGACCUGCAGUCUCCCUCCAGUCUCACUCCUCAGAGAGUCUCUGAGCUUGGCCCUUUUCUUCCCCUUCUGGGAUCCAGUGUCCUACAGCAGCUUACCUCAGCCCAGCUCAUGCCUGCUCUCAGCACCCUCGCCUCUGUGCCUUUUACCCCUGCACAGGCAAGUGUUAUCAUCGACAAGAUCUCUGCCAAUCUUAGUUUGGCUCUACCAGGCUCUGAGCAUUUGUCUAUGCUGGGAUCUCUUGUGAGUGGAGUAAAGGUGGAGACUCUAUGGACUUUACCAACUGAUGUUCUGCUGGAAGCGUUACCUGCUAUAAGCCUUCAGACACCUGGGCUCACCCCUCCACAGGUCAACACUAUCAUCUCCAAACUCUGGGGUUUUAGUUCUGUGUCCCAGUGGAUGGAUAAAGUCAGUCCUUUGCUCUCUAGCACUCCACUCCUCAGUGUGAUUCCCCAAGUCCCUCUGCUCCUGAUCAGAGACACUGCUGUACACACUCGCCUCUGGAACACACAGCAGGCUAAAGUUCUCUUUAAAGAGGCUGUCGUCUCUCACUCAAGUCUCUCACUACAAGAAUUUCUGUAAGUUUGGCCUUUAGGGAUUUGUGAGUUGAUUUUGUGAUUAUAAAUAAGGUCUACAAAAUGAAUCAUGACACUGCUCAGUGAAGUACUUAAGUAUGAUCAUGUUUUCCUUUCUCUGACAUGACAGAUCUCUGGGGACUCUGGCUACAGGAGUGAGUUGCACAGACCUGAGAAGAUUGUUCCAGAAACUGGCAUCUCUGUCUCCUCUACGUGACAUUAUGACAUUUCUGAGAGAGCAGCCUGUGCCACUCCACCCAUCGCUGGUAUCUAGUAAACCUACAUUCAAAUUCAGGACCUAAAUGAUACAGAUUACCAGUUUGGUUUAGUUUCUUCUUUAUUUAGUCAAAUCCUCACUAAGGUCAAUCUUACUCAAGGUUCACAUAAUCUUUAAAAUUUUGUGUAGGCCUACCUGUAAAUUGAGUACAGAUGUCUUGAAUCUUGAAUUAAUGGAUUGAGUAUUGCACAAACACUCUCUUUACAGAAGUUGUUUUUUCUUUUCUGUACUACAGAAAAAGUGUGUAUUUGAGGAACUGUAUAGGUUUGACUUCUUCACAGAAUUACUUGGAGAUUUGGGUUCUCAGAUUGCUCUGUCACUUCCGUGAGUCAAAAUUAAAUUCAGUCAAAAUACAUUUACAUGUGUAUAAAAUUGUCUUCACUUGUUGAAUUUCAUGCUAUUGUCUAAAGGCUGAGUACCAUUAAGAAAUUUCCACCAGAUAAGAUGGAUUCCCUGAGGAAAAUUAUAAUACAGGACCCAUAUUACUUCCUACUGCUUCCCAGCAUCAAACAAGCUGUCCUGGUGGACAAGAUGGUUCAACGACUGGUAAAGAAUAUAAUUUUACUGUCUAGAUGUCAUGCACAUACUUUUGUUGUGGAUCAAUCCGGUGAAUGAUUUUGACAAGGUUAUUAACCGUUUCUAUGUACAUUUUGUUUAACCUGCACCUUUUAAAAGAGCUUUAAUGUCAAAUUGACCAGUUGGUAUAGUAACCUCUGUGAAUCUCCAACCACUAUUUCUUUGAUUUUCUCAUCAGGAUAUGUACACUGGCCUGUACACUGAAGAGGAGUUUCGUUCGCUAGGCAUCAUGGCUACAUUUGUGACAGAUGAAAUGUUUUUGAAAUUGGAUAGGAGCUUUUUUGUUGAUAGUCUGGAGUUCCUACAAGGAUUCUGCUACAGUCCCAAUAAAAGAGACCUGGUGGCAAAGAUGCUAGAGGAA